GUGCGCGGCGGGUAGGGAAGCGUCCCGCCCCCUCGCGGAUCAUAGAGUUUGACGACGCGUCUUAGUCUUAGAGAGGCUGACGCUUCGGCUCCUAAACUGUGGAGGCCGCAGGGAGUGGGACCGUGGCGUCCCGCUGAGGGGCGCCGGAGGCAACGGGGUCGCACGGAAUCGCUGUGCCGCUCCUGCACCGGCCUCGACUUCAGACACUUAAACUUCAAGGUAGCUUCCUUUUAAGGAACCUGUGCAUCAGAGUUGAAGAGAGGUUACAAGCCAUGCACAUAAGGAAUGGAUUUCACCAAUCAUUCAAACACCCCCUUUUCUGCAUACUCUGCACAAUAUGUCACUCACGUACAGAACCUGUGGAGGCCCUGCUCAGAGCAGAAAGUGGUCCCCAAAUUCCUUGGCCAACUGAGUUCAGCUAGUGGAAAGGUGUUUGAAUGGUGAAGAAGGAUUGAGGAUCAUGAAGGAAACAUCACCAAAUCUUUAUCCUUUGUCUCCAAAUGAGGGACAGCAGGCCAGUUCUUCAGGGCUUCAGAGCCCCCAGCUGGGACAGAGAGGCAAUGGCCAUCUCAAAUGAGUGACAAGACUCAGGAGGAGAGGGUAAGGGAGUUAUACGGCUUUGGUCAGAGAAGAACCCAACAGAGAUUAGAUGUUUAUUUUUACUUCAUUUUUCCCCCUUCUGUACCCCCUCCCUAAGGGUUCCCCAGAGUUGGAAUGACCCUCUCCCUUUCGCCAGGCCCUGGGGCAUUUUGUUCAGUGUCUGAGCCCCCAGCUCAUGCCCUGCUCCCACAUCAUCCUUAUGGAGGGAGGUGAGGCAGAGAGGGUUCCAUCAAUGUCAUUGCAAAUGGCAAGAUUUCAUUCCUUUUUAUGGCUGAGUAAUAUUCCAUUAUAUAUAUAUGUGUGUAUGUGAUAUAUAUAUAUCACAUCUUCUUUAUGGACACUUGGGCUGCAUCCAUAUCUUGGCUUUAUAAAUAAUGCUGUUAUAAGCAUAGGGGUGCAUGUAUUCCUUUGAAUUAAUGUUUUUAUAUUCUUUAGGUAAAUACCCCAGGAGGGUGAUUCCUGGAUCAUAGGUUAGGUCUAUUUUUAACUUUUUAAGAAACCACCAUACUGUUUUCCACAGUGCCUGCACCAGUUUGCAUUCCCACCAACAGUGCACAGUUCCUUUUUCUCCACAUCUUCACCAACAUCUGUUGUUUCUUGUGUUCUUGAUUUUAGCCAUUCUGACAGGUAUGAGGUGAUAUUACAUUGUAGUUUUGACUUGUGUUUCCCCGAGGAUGAGUGAUACUGGGCAUCUUUUCAUGUAUCUGUUAGCCAUCUGGAUGUCUUCUUUGGAAAAAUAGAGACGGGUGAGGGAGAAAGAGGAGGAGGAAGAGGACAAGGACAAGCCAACUUCACGCUGAGCUCAGAGCUCAACUUAGAGCUCUAUCACAGGACCCUGAGAUCAUGAGCUGAGCUGAAACCAAGAGUGAGGCACUUAACUGAGCCACCCAGUUGUCUGAGUACUGUGGCUAGUACAGUCCAGUACUAUGUCGAAUAGAAGUGGUGAGAGUGGACAUCUUUGUCUUCCUGACUAUAGAGGAAAAGCUUUUAGUUUUUCUCCAUUGAGGCUGAUGUUAGCUGUGAGUUUUUAAAAUACAACCUUUAUUAUAUUGAGGUUAAAUUCUUGCUCAGAGUCCGAUUGCUCCCAUCUGGCACUGCCAGAGUGUGGGUGAGGGAGGCUGAACUGGGAGUUAAGCGAGGCCCUGCUACCUCCAGGCCCCUGCUCUGUGCACAGGUGCAGAACCUACUUAUGUGUCAGAUGGGCCUCAUGGACAAUGAGGUAUCCCUGUGGCCAGAGCUCGUGCUUCGGGCAUACAGGAUGCCGUGUAUGAAAUGCUGAUGACGUGGCUCAACAAAAUGGGGCAAGGUGCCUCAGUCAACAUCCCACUGGAUGCCUCGGAAAUGUUAGGGAAAAGAUAUGCGAAGGAGAGAAUUCAGGAGCACCUGGUGGGCUCUGGAAAGUGCAUCUAUGAAGAAGAUGGGACAGCUCUGCUGUAUCCUGAGUGGAAAGAAUCUUUUUAGGAAUCUGAGCUUCCCUGGUUUACCUUUCUUCUUGAAGGGGAAGCAUGAAUAGACACCAGCCUGGAAGAAAGAGUAGAUUCUUGACAAAUACUUGGAGAAAUUGUAAUUAAAAACAUACAGCUCUUGGAAUGUUCUAGAACUUUUUUUAAUGCACUUGGAAUAAUUUUUAUGAAAUGUUGGGUGUGAUAAAUGAAUUGUGGAAAAAUUCUAUGUGGAUUAUAGUUACAGCUAUUUUAUUGUGUUUCAUUUUAUUGCACAUCAAAGAUGUGUAAAGGUUUGUGGAAACCCUGAGUUGAGCAAGUCUGUUGGUGUCAUUUUUCCAACAUUUGCUGACUUCGAAUCUCUGAAGCAUAUUUUGAUAAUUCUUGCAAUGUUUCAAACCUAUUUAUUAUUAUUAUAUUAUGUUAUUGUUUGAUCAGUGAUGUUUGAUUGUAAUUGUUUCAAGGUGCCAUGAAUUGUGCCCAUAUAAGAUUGUGAAUUUAAUUGAUAAAUCAUAUGUGUUUUCUGACUGGUCUACCAGCUAACCCUAAAAUGGCCUCUAAGUGUUCAAGUGAAAGGAAGAGUCACAUGUCUCUCACUCUAAAUCAAUUCAGCUAGAAUGCUUAAGCUUAGUGAGGAAGGCACGUUGAAAGCUGAGAUAGGCCAAAAGCUAGGCCACACAACAAAUAGCCAGGUUGUGAAUGCAAAGGAAAAGUUGUUUAAGGAAAUUAAAAGUGCCUUCCAGUGAACACAUGAAUGAAAAGAAAGCCAAACAGCCUUAUUGCUGAUGUGGAGAAAGUCUGAGUGGUCUGCAUAGAUGAAACCAGCCAGGACAUUCUGUUAAGCCAAAGCCUAUCCUGAGCAAGGUCCUGACUCUCCUCAGUUCUGUGAAGGUUGAGAGCAGUGAGGAAGCUGCAGGAGAAUAGGUGGAAGCUGCCAGAGGUGGGUUCAUGAGGUUUAAGGCCAGAAGCUGUCUCUACCACAACCCAGUGCAAGGUGAAGCAGCCAGUGCUGGUGUAGACACUGCAGCACAUUCUCCAGGAGAUCCAGCCAGGAUAAGUGAUGAAGGAGGCUACACUGAACAACACAUUUCCAAUGUAGAAAAAAUGGUCUCUAUCAGGAGAAGAUGCCAGCUAGGACUUUCAUAGCUAGAGAGAGGAGAAGUCAGUGCCUGGCUUCAAAGCCUCAAGGAACAGCCCAAACCCCUCCUUAGGGGCUAAUGCUGCGGGUGCCUUGACGUUGAAGCCAGGGCUCGUUGAUCAUUCUGAAAAUCCCAGGGUCCCGAAGAAUUAUGCUAAGUCCACUCUGCCCUGUGCUCUGUGAACAGAACAACAAACCCUGGAUGAUGGCAUUUCAGAUCACAACAUGGUUUAUUGAAUAUUUUAAGUCCAUUGUUGAGAUCUACCGCUCAGAAAAAAAUAUUCUUUUCAAAAUACGACUGCUUAUUAACAAUGCAUCUGGUCACACGUGAACUCUGAUGGAGACGUAUAAUGAGAUGAAUGUUGUUUUCUGCUCACAUAGCAUCCAUUCUGCAGCUUAGAGAUCAAGGAGUCAUUAGACUUUCAAGUCUUAUUAUUUAAGAAAUACAUUCUGUAAGGCUGUUGCUGCCAUACAUAGCGAUUCUUCUGAAGGAUUUGGGCAAAAUCAAUUGAAAACCUUCUGGCAAGGAUUCACCAUUCUAAGUGGGUGCCAUUAAGAAUAUUUGUGAUUCAUGGGAAGAAGUCAAAAUAUCAACAUGAACAGGGGUUUGGAAGAAUUUGAUUACAACCUGCAUGGAUGACUUUGAUGGGUUCAAGACUUCAGAGGAGGAAGUGUGGGGGAAAGAGCAAGAGGAGUAGAACUGGAGGUAGAGCCUAAAGAUGGAACCGAAUGGCUGCCAUCUCAUGAUCAGAUGAGGAGUUGCUGCUUGUGGAUGAGUAAAGAAAGUGGUUUCUUGAGAUGGAAUCUACUCCUGAGAAGACUUUGGGAAGAUUGUUGAGAUGACAACAAAAGAUUUAGAGCAUUGAGUAAACUCAGUCGAUAGAACAGCGGCAGGUUGGACAGGACCGACUCCAAUUUUGUUACAAGUUCUGUUGUGAGUAAAAUGCUAUCAGACAGCAUCGCGUGCUACAGAGAAAUUGGAAGAGUCAAUCAACACAGCCAACUCCAUCGGUGUCUUAUUUUAAGAAAUUGCCACAGCCAUUCCCACCUUCAGCAGCCACCACCCUGAUCAGUCAGCAGCCACCAACAUCGAGGCAAGCGCCUCCGCCAGCAAAAAGAUUACAACUCGCUGAGAGCUCAGAUGAUGGUUAGCAUUUUUUUUUAGCAAUAAAGUGUUUUUUAAUUUAAUACAUGGCUUUUUAAAACAUAAGGCUAUUGCACAUUUAAUAGACUACAGUAUAGUGCAGACACAACUUUUGAAUGCACUUGGAAACCAAAGAAUUCAUUUGACCCACUUUAUUGUGAUACUUGCUUUAUUGGGUUUCUCUGGAAGCAAACUUGCAGUGUCUCCGAGGUGUGCCUGAAUAUGCUCAUGUGUGGCCUGCAAGUUGUUUUAGUGUGUCUUUCUUUUUGAUUCAUGGGCCUUCUUCAUCCUAAUAGAAUUGCACUUGCUACUUGUAUUUGUUAUAUCGUAAGAUGCAAUCAUGUUGGCAUGUGUGCAUUUACUUAUAUCUAACUAUUACUAGAGGAUGUGCAUCUUCCUAUUUUUGUAUAUGUUUAUAUGAGUGCGUAGAACUUUUUGAAAUGUACUUAUUAGUUUGAUUACAUGGAUUACCUUAAUGGGAGCAGCCAAUCAUAAAAUGAGUUCGCAUACAAAGGGAGAAGGUGAAACAGCCCACCUCUGGGGAUGGGGAUGGCAGGUUCCAAUUCUCCUUCAUAUGCCCUUUUCCAGAAUCAGAUGACCAGAAACUCCUGAAGUGCUCACUCUUUUCAACAUGAUAAUUACGUGGGCGUAUGAAUAUGUAUAUUACUCAUAAGCUGAUGUUUCCAAGUAAGGAGAGUGAGGAGAAACAGUGUCCUCGUGCAGCCCUGUGUCUGGGUGCCCUGGGCAGGAACGUGAGGGCCUCGUCCUUGCCUAUAGAUGUGGGCAGGUUGGGAGACGGGUUAGCUCUGAGGUGGCAAAUAGGUUCUAUGUCACGUGUCAUUGCAGAUCACAUGAGUGGACCCUCAGCCCCAUCUUCAUCUUCAGCCCCCUUUCCACCCUACCUGUAUUCCAGUCAUGGCGGGAUGAUGUUAUAGAAGUUAUUCUCAGGGUUCUCCAGCUUUCUCAUCUCAAAGGUCUGGGAGUGCCCAGACUGGAUCCAUUGGCUGGGCCCAAAUGGAGUUGCCUGAACACUCAGGCAGUCAGGGUACUGGUGCUCAAGUGGGGGCACAACCCUCACGGCCUUGCUGCUCCCCUCCCUCCUGCUUCCUUCCAGAGGUGCCCGCCUGCCCCUUCCCUUUCCUGGGAGACUUGGGGUUUCCUGCCUCUGCUGUCCCUUCUAUGUGGAGCGCUUGCAUCUGUAGAAGGGGCCGUGAAUUUUUGCCAGUCAGCGUUCAGCUCACCUGCAGUCCCUUUGUCAGAGUCCUUGAGUGCCCAGCCACGGUAUUAGCCUUAUCAGUGUUUGUCACGCUUACUCAUUUAAGGUAAGCUGCAUCAGGGCAUGGGGCGGAUCCAGUCCAAAUGGCACGUGGCCCUCAACAGGCACUUAAGUGUUUCAUUGGCGAUCGGUGUCCUUUCAUGCUUCUCUCCAGUGGGAGGGCCACCUUUGAGGAGGUUGUUGGACAUAUCAAACAAUACAAGGAAGGCCAUUAGGUACAAAAUACUCAUGUAUUUAUGAAUUCAUGACCAAAUUAAAUAUGAAAC
This 5866-nucleotide long non-coding RNA is filed under the name Canis lupus familiaris (dog). RNAcentral's name for it is "lncRNA (ENSCAFG00845017838.1)". The record is from RNAcentral. Lineage: Eukaryota; Metazoa; Chordata; Mammalia; Carnivora; Canidae.